UGGGGAAUAUUGGACAAUGGGGGGAACCCUGAUCCAGCCAUGCCGCGUGUGUGAAGAAGGCCUUAUGGUUGUAAAGCACUUUAAGCGAGGAGGAGGCUCUCUUGGUUAAUACCCAAGAAGAGUGGACGUUACUCGCAGAAUAAGCACCGGCUAACUCUGUGCCAGCAGCCGCGGUAAUACAGAGGGUGCGAGCGUUAAUCGGAUUUACUGGGCGUAAAGCGUGCGUAGGCGGCUUUUUAAGUCGGAUGUGAAAUCCCCGAGCUUAACUUGGGAAUUGCAUUCGAUACUGAGAAGCUAGAGUAUGGGAGAGGAUGGUAGAAUUCCAGAUGUAACGGUGAAAUGCGUAGAGGUCUGGAGGAAUACCGAUGGCGAAGGCAGCCAUCUGGCCUAAUACUGACGCUGAUGUACGAAAGCAUGGGGAGCAAACAGG
This 430-nucleotide ribosomal RNA is filed under the name Bacillota bacterium. RNAcentral describes it as "Firmicutes bacterium partial 16S ribosomal RNA". It matches the Rfam family "Bacterial small subunit ribosomal RNA", at positions 355 to 776 of the family's 1533-position model. The record is from RNAcentral. Lineage: Bacteria; Bacillati; Bacillota.